GAGGAUAUAGCUCAGUGGUAGAGCACAUGCUUAGCAUGCACAAAGUCCUGGGUUCAAUCCCCAGUACCUACA
Molecule: transfer RNA, 72 nt
Filed under: Camelus bactrianus (Bactrian camel)
Lineage: Eukaryota; Metazoa; Chordata; Mammalia; Artiodactyla; Camelidae
Also listed under: 1 other name
Rfam family: tRNA
About the family: Transfer RNA (tRNA) molecules are approximately 80 nucleotides in length. Their secondary structure includes four short double-helical elements and three loops (D, anti-codon, and T loops).
Source: Rfam by way of RNAcentral